CAAUAGCGUAUAUUUAAGUUGUUGCAGUUAAAAAGCUCGUAGUUGGAUUUCGGAUGGGACUUGCCGGUCCGUCGUUUCGAUGUGCACUGGCCAGUCCUAUCUUGUUGUCGGGGACUAGCUCCUGGGCUUCACUGUCCGGGACUAGGAGCUGACGAGGUUACUUUGAGUAAAUUAGAGUGUUCAAAGCAAGCCUACGCUCUGAAUACAUUAGCAUGGAAUAACACGAUAGGACUCUGGCUUAUCUUGUUGGUCUGUGAGACCAGAGUAAUGAUUAAGAGGGACAGUCGGGGGCAUUCGUAUUUCAUUGUCAGAGGUGAAAUUCUUGGAUCUAUGAAAGACGAACUUCUGCGAAAGCAUUUGUCAAGGAUGUCUCCAUUAA
RNAcentral lists this ribosomal RNA (379 nucleotides) under uncultured eukaryote. RNAcentral's name for it is "partial 18S ribosomal RNA". It matches the Rfam family "Eukaryotic small subunit ribosomal RNA", at positions 592 to 976 of the family's 1831-position model. The record is from RNAcentral.